CGGCACCAACGCGGAGGUGAGCGCUGCAAACGGUGCGUCUCGGUCAGAGGAGAGCAGGAGGGAGCCUGGGCCCGGUGGCUCCCAGCGGAAGGUAAUCACCGGACGUGCAGAGCUCCUGGACAUACGCUAAGAGGGGCUGAGUGCGCAGAGAGAGGAGAGCCCGCUCUGACCCCCAGCCCCGCAGCCGAGCAACUCUGGGGAAGCUAUUUGGAGCCGUCCGAGCCCGCGCCGGCGAUUCACGCUGCAUCAGCGUUGCUCAAGGUACAGGCCUCGGGUCACCCGCAUCAAAAUCAAUGGGUACGAUUUUAUAAAGUGCAUAGAAUCAGGCCCCUCUGAGAACUGGGGGAUCAGAAUCUCUAGGUAGGGGGGCCAAGAAUCCCAUUAACAAGAUCCUCACCGGGUUCUUAAACACCUGAUAUCUGAGACUCAUGGGCCUUAUUCACAUAGACCACGGUCUGAUUGCUUUGGACCCAAAGCAUCAGCACAGAAUGAGCAGCACCGAGCAGACUAGGUUCUUCAGAAUAUUCUUUCAUUAAUGUACUUUUACCCAGCACUUUCCAAGUGUCAGGCGCUAUUCUUGGGAUCUGUCAAUCAAAAGAGAUUAGAGUGCCUUUCCUCAUGGAGCCUCCAUUCUAGUGUAUGAGAGCAGAGGUAAUAAGCUACUAGUAAAUAUAAAGAUGGGUGAAUCUCAUAGCAUGUUGGAUGGUCAUAAAUGUGGUGGGGGAAAAAGAGGGCGAGACGAAGAGGGUUCCAGAUGAAAGGUUAUUGAAAUUUCUUCUAAUCAAAUUGUAUAUUACACCUUGGAUGUGAGUUACGUGGUAGAUGCUGAUGCCCCAUCCAGAUCCCCUUUAGGGCCCACAUACCUCAUUUCCCCACUCUCCAAACUCCUCUCCUCGUAACCCACCCUUUCUGCUACCCUGUCCAUGACUCACUGACUAUUGACGGCCCCUGCCUCAAUGUGGGGUCCACUUGGUGGUUGGUAUUAUUUCGGCUCCCUGAGCUUUCUCAGGGAGGCCGCAUCCUUCUAGUUGACCCCUGCCCUAUCCUGUUUCCCUCACUCCCCUUGCCCUGGGAGCACCUUCUGUAUAUCACCUGCUCAAGAAUCCCUGUUUCAAUUUCUGCUGUGCUAAGGAGGCUGGCCUAAGGCAGGCUCUGGUCCAUAGAAUAGGAUAGUAACUUGAGUGGAC
This 1187-nucleotide long non-coding RNA is filed under the name Canis lupus dingo (dingo). RNAcentral's name for it is "lncRNA (ENSCAFG00020000418.1)". Lineage: Eukaryota; Metazoa; Chordata; Mammalia; Carnivora; Canidae. The record is from RNAcentral.